CGCUUGCACCGAAUCCAGCAGUCGUCUUCAGGAAUCCGCGUCUGCGCAUGAUCGUGUAUCGACACCCUUCAAGCAGCUGCUCGUCCCCCCCGGAUCGGAUGGUCUGAUACGGGAUUCGUAUCAUCUAUGGACUGAGUCACCUGACGUGCGCGACUUGGACUCUUGGGAGCCCAUCCGCGCAUGGUGUGCUACCUCAGUGUCACCAGCUGGCCACUUCUGGCCUGCUAUAAAGCCGACAGCGAAUGCUACGCUCUUCAGUGGGUCUUGCGGUGGCACAAUGUGCACUUGGUUCAAGCUUGUCUGCACUGUCUUACAGUUUCUUUUCACGGGCCGUAGGAUCUGGAUAUUCGCAUCAUCUCAACCUGCAGUCUAUCAUGGCUCUAAUGCGACAUGCAUCUUUUAUAGAACGAGGAACCUAACUAAAACUAGCGUCACCUUGCGCUACCAGUUCGUCGCGAACAUGACAGUGCAAAGAAAGACGGUGCAGGCUCAAUUGCUAAAGGACUACCUUCCCAGCAUGAACAUGACCGACUGGAAUGAUAUUAACGUCAUAAAAAAGUUCCGGUACUAUAAUAGAUAUCUCUGGUGUGCAAUUUUUUUGGUGUCCAUGGAAGACGAC
Rhipicephalus sanguineus (brown dog tick) is the source of this 619-nucleotide long non-coding RNA. RefSeq lists it as uncharacterized. The record is from RefSeq and is a predicted model, not a curated record. The transcript is spliced from 4 exons. NCBI's taxonomy places the organism in Eukaryota, Metazoa, Arthropoda, Arachnida, Ixodida, Ixodidae.